This 261-nucleotide ribosomal RNA is filed under the name Triticum aestivum (bread wheat). RNAcentral's name for it is "partial small subunit ribosomal RNA". The record is from RNAcentral. Lineage: Eukaryota; Viridiplantae; Streptophyta; Magnoliopsida; Poales; Poaceae.
AUGACCUCUAAAUGCAGCGGGGACCAUGAUAUUUGGAUUCCAUUUUUGAGCACACAUGCAUGGAUUAGAUCCUUCAACUUCUCGAUAGUUGAUGAUUGGAGAGCAUGGCAUCUCGGUGGUCAGGCGGGAGGAUUUGCAAUCACAUACGCCAACCAUAUGACAUUUGCGACAUUAAAGGGUGGUGGGCACUCAGCCAUAGAAUAUCCACCUAGGGAAAGUCUUGCCAUGGCUCAACGCUGGCUGGAUAAUAAGCCUUUGUGA